Molecule: ribosomal RNA, 841 nt
Filed under: Ramularia tricherae
Lineage: Eukaryota; Fungi; Ascomycota; Dothideomycetes; Mycosphaerellales; Mycosphaerellaceae
Description: eukaryotic LSU rRNA
Rfam family: Eukaryotic large subunit ribosomal RNA
Source: RNAcentral
AGGAAAAGAAACCAACAGGGAUUGCCCUAGUAACGGCGAGUGAAGCGGCAACAGCUCAAAUUUGAAAUCUGGCGCAAGCCCGAGUUGUAAUUUGUAGAGGAUGCUUCUAGGUAGCGACCGGUCUAAGUUCCUUGGAACAGGACGUCAUAGAGGGUGAGAAUCCCGUAUGCGACCGGCCCGCACCUUCUACGUAGCUCCUUCGACGAGUCGAGUUGUUUGGGAAUGCAGCUCUAAAUGGGAGGUAAAUUUCUUCUAAAGCUAAAUACCGGCCAGAGACCGAUAGCGCACAAGUAGAGUGAUCGAAAGAUGAAAAGCACUUUGGAAAGAGAGUUAAAAAGCACGUGAAAUUGUUGAAAGGGAAGCGCUUACAACCAGACUUCUGGGCGGUGUUCCGCCGGUCUUUUGACCGGUCUACUCGCCGUCCCGAGGCCAACAUCAUCUGGGACCGCUGGAUAAGACCUUAGGAAUGUAGCUUCCCUCGGGAAGUGUUAUAGCCUGUGGUGAUGCAGCGCGUCUCGGGUGAGGUCCGCGCUUCGGCAAGGAUGUUGGCGUAAUGGUUGUCAGCGGCCCGUCUUGAAACACGGACCAAGGAGUCUAACAUCUAUGCGAGUGUUCGGGUGUCAAACCCCUACGCGUAAUGAAAGUGAACGGAGGUGGGAAGGGUGACCUGCACCAUCGACCGAUCCUGAUGUCCUCGGAUGGAUUUGAGUAAGAGCAUAGCUGUUGGGACCCGAAAGAUGGUGAACUAUGCCUGAAUAGGGUGAAGCCAGAGGAAACUCUGGUGGAGGCUCGCAGCGGUUCUGACGUGCAAAUCGAUCGUCAAAUUUGGGUAUAGGGGCGA